Molecule: long non-coding RNA, 987 nt
Organism: Lolium rigidum
Lineage: Eukaryota; Viridiplantae; Streptophyta; Magnoliopsida; Poales; Poaceae
Exons: 3
Source: RefSeq, a predicted model, not a curated record
UUCUUCCCCACGAUCCACCCCACCCCAAUCACGAUCCAGUUCUUCAUCUAUUCAAGCAUUCGGCUGGCCGCCGGCGGACACAUAAGGUGCACGGGAGGACUUUGGCGGGAUUACUGGUUUUCUCUUGCGGAAGGACGGACUGCAGCAGCGAUUGAAUGGGGCUGUGACCCGGCCACGACCCAGGUCGACGCGCCGUCGUUCCCGACCCUCGAUCUGGAUCGAUCGGCCCUGGGUCGUCGUCUCGUCGAACGCGCCAUCCAUCCCGUUUCCGGCUACGACGGCCCUGCAUCCCAACGCCGCCCGCCCGACCGUCUCCGUGAAGCUGUUGUGCCGCCGUGGUCGCUAGCCAGACACCCGCCUCCCGAUUGGUUAGUACUCAGUUGUUUUGCAACGUUUCCUCCAUAGCAAUUUCUAUAGCAGUGUCCGUGGCUAGACUCGAAAAGGAGUAGAUUUUCCCACCUUUGCAGUUUGGAUCAGAGAGUAGGCCUCACGUACGUAUGUGGGAUUGAGGGCCAGGUUCAGAAAAUUGUCGGGCGAGCUGUAAUUUUACUAAUUAUCAGUAUUUCAUGGAUAUAUAAGGGCACAUGGCCUAGAGGAACUCAAGUGAACAACAAAGCUAGCAGGGUAUUAGCGAUGACGCUCUGAAGUUGUGAGACUUGCACAAUUGUGUUCCAAUGAAGGAUGUUGCUGCAAUAUUACGAACGGGCCAAGUUAUCACAUAAUAUCAUAUAUGAUCUGUUUUAGAUAUCGCUUACAUUAGAUAUGCUUUAUUUGGUAAAAGUGGUUCCAAUAAAAUUAGCGGGUGUUCUUAAAGAUCAGCAUUGAUCAUUAGAACUUGUCAAUGUUCCAGUGUAAGUUAAAUAUCUUAGAAGUAUUUAAACUUUCUGUAAGUGAUCUUCAACUUUGGCUUUGGAGUGAUAUGUCCCCUGUAAUACACAUGAUUUAUAUGGUGCCUUCAUUGAAUUUAAUAUUAUUGUUCCUACUGAA